This 85-nucleotide transfer RNA is filed under the name Candidatus Adiutrix sp. RNAcentral describes it as "tRNA-Leu". It matches the Rfam family "tRNA". Rfam says of the family: Transfer RNA (tRNA) molecules are approximately 80 nucleotides in length. Their secondary structure includes four short double-helical elements and three loops (D, anti-codon, and T loops). The record is from RNAcentral. Lineage: Bacteria; Pseudomonadati; Thermodesulfobacteriota; Desulfarculia; Candidatus Adiutricales; Candidatus Adiutricaceae.
GCGAGAGUGGCGGAACUGGCAGACGCACUGGCCUUAGGAGCCAGCGGUGAGAACCGUAGGGGUUCGAGUCCCCUCUCUCGCACCA